RNAcentral lists this long non-coding RNA (17840 nucleotides) under Homo sapiens (human). RNAcentral's name for it is "non-protein coding LINC01168:4". The record is from RNAcentral. Lineage: Eukaryota; Metazoa; Chordata; Mammalia; Primates; Hominidae.
GGCUGCUCUCUGCCUACGGGGCGGCCCCGCUGCAGGAGCAGUCAGGGAGCUGUGAGCUGUGGCACGGCCGCCUGAAUAAAGCUCUUUCCUUCUACCUGCGGCUUGCCCUUGAAUUCCCUCCAGGGUAAAGCCAAGAACCGUCGGGGCUCAGCCCCACCUGGGGGCUCCCCUGCCCCGCACCACCGAAGUCUUGGAUGGGUAACUGGAAGAUGCCAUUGUGAAUAGAAAUAUCCUUUCUCGAUGAAUUAGAAAAUGAAACCAACUCCUGCAUUAAUUUUACACAAAUGACAUCAAGAGGGUUGAGAGAAGAAGGUGGCUGUCCCCAGCUCCGGGUCCCUGCCAGCCUUAUGAUAGUCUUCUAAGGCCAUCUAUUAUUUCCUGAAAUAUUCAUAGAAGUAUGAAAAAUUGAGCAUGAGUGGUUUGCUUUGUGCUUCGUUAUUUAUUAAGCUUGUGACUUAUUUUUCUUUUGGCGAAGAGCUUCCUAUCUUUUCCAAGAAAAAAAAAGUGGGCCAGAAUAACAGCCCUCAUGUUUUGAGCUUGAAAUUAAAAUUUCGAAGACCUCCCUGUACAAAGUGAAGCUGAGUAAAGAUGUUUACAAAUGCAGAUUGAAAAUGAAAAAUGCAAGGGCCUUUGUGACUCAUUUUAUGAAUAUGUGUUUUUAUCAAAGAACUCCCAUAAGUUGACUCGGAGCCUGAUUUGCAUCUAGGGUUUCAUCCUUGCUUGGUGGUGGACUGGCCGUCCCUUCAUCCCUUCUAUAAGUCCAUUAACAUUCCUCCCUCCCUCCAUCUGUCCAUCAACAUCCCUCCCUCCAUCCAUCCGUCCAUCAACAUCCCUUCCUCCAUCCAUCCGUCCAUCAACAUCCCUCCAUCCAUCCGUCCAUCAACAUCCCUCCCUCCAUCCAUCCGUCCAUCAACAUCCCUCCCUCCAUCCAUCCGUCCAUCAACAUCCCUCUCUCCAUCCAUCCAUCCAUCAACAUUCCUGGCACCUGCUCAGCAUCGGGGGGGCAUCCCAGCCCUCACAGGGAGCAGGCACAGUAGGUACAGGUAGAGGCUCCCUGCCUGCUCAGCCCCAGGCCGCUCCUGAGAGCACCCCCAAAGCCACAGGUCACAGCACAUUGCCCCUGAUUUUACCCCAUUAGGAGAGGGAAGAUGUGCCCAAGGGGACUGGUGAGCCACAGGGAGGCGGAUUCCUGGGCUGCAGCUUAAAACAAGACACUUGUUCCCUCAUGGUUCCGGAAGCCAGAGUCCAAGAUUGAGGUGUAGGCCUGCGCUCCCUCAGAGCUGCUCGCUCCAGGGAGAUCCCUCCUCGGCGCUUCUGCUUCUGGUGACUCCGGGUGUCCUCAGCAUCGCCCAGCCCCACCUCCAUCUUUGCAAGCCUCUCCUUUCUCCCAUAAGGAUGCCAGGCACCGGAUUUCAGGCCCAUACUAAAUCCAAGAUGAUCUCAUCAUGAUAUCCUUAACUUUUUACAUCUGCGAAGACCCUGUUUCCAAACUGGUCACGUUUGUAGGAACCAGGGCUUAGGACUCGAACAUAUCUUUUGGGGAGACAAGAUUCAUCCCCCAUGAGCAUGGGUUCAGAGAGCAACGGCUUUAGCACUACCGAGGUCUUAAUCCAAGCUUCCUGUCAGGAUUUAAUACAAGGGAGGCUGAACUGCCGGGGAGCUCAGAAAUGCACGAGCAAGACAUGAGCGUAGGGGAGGUUCCCGGGGUGCCUCGACUGUCCAGGCUUGCAGCUGCAGGUGGAGAGGAGGCAAGGCUGUUUGCCCAUUUCAGCCUCAGAACAGUCACAGCCCAGCAGCCGGCGGCCUGUCCAUGAUGACCAUUCUGCUCCGGAGCCUACACAGAGGGCACUGUUCACCCUGCGGCCGCCUCCCUGCGCUCCAAGGAUCAGCCUCAUGAUAAGGUCAGAAAGAACCUUGGCUUUAGGGUCUGUCCCGCGUGGCCACCUGUUCUGUAUGUUAAAACCGACUUGCCUGCCAUUUCUCUUCUUAUCCCUCACACCCACCCACCCAGCCUGGGCCAGGCCUGGUUCUAGGGCGCGGCCAACGGUCGGGGACAAAAUAUUCAUGGUUUCUGGGUUCGUGGUCAGGCAGUUUGGGUGGACACAAGCAAGUGCCACGUAAAAUAAGCAACGGUGAGAAUGGUUAUGAGUCGCAAUGACACUGUGAGGCACUUUAACAGGCUCAUCGGCGUGGCCCUAGGCCCUGCCCUCUGUGAGCCCAGGUCACCCCCAGGACGCCCAGCGGCUGCUGCGCCACCUCCCUCCUCCCACUGUGGCCAGGCCUGGCGGGCGGGUGCUGCCUCCCGACACGCACACUUUGCCGGGGCAGGUCCGCGCCAGCGCCGUCGCCAGAAGAGCCUCACAAAGACGCGGCUGCCACCGUUUGGCGUCUUUGAAGACUGUUCAGCAGGUCUGAGGAUGAGCUGCUCUGAGGGUUUUUCCCAACUUACCAUUUUGAUACAACGUCAAACAUAUGUAAAAGUCACAAGAAUACGACAAGGAACUGCCAUUAGAGCCUUAGGCGAAUUCACCAACUGUUCCCACUUCUCACCGGUGUCACCUUCCCACCGUUCCCACUCCUCACUGGCGUUACCUUCCCUCCGUUCCCACUUCUCCUCAACGGCGUUACAUUCCUGCGGUUCCCACUUCUCACCGGUGUCACCUUCCCACCGUUCCCACUCCUCACUGGCGUUACCUUCCCACCGUUCCCACUCCUCACUGGCGUUACCUUCCCUCCGUUCCCACUUCUCCUCAACGGCGUUACAUUCCUGCGGUUCCCACUUCUCACCGGUGUCACCUUCCCACCGUUCCCACUCCUCACUGGCGUUACCUUCCCUCCGUUCCCACUUCUCCUCAACGGCGUUACCUUCCUGCGGUUCCCACUUCUCACCGGUGUCACCUUCCCACCGUUCCCACUCCUCACUGGCGUUACCUUCCUGCCAUUCCCACUUCUCCUCACGGCGUUACCUUCCUGCCGUUCCCACUUCUCCUCAAUGGUGUUUCCUUCCCGCCUUUCCCACUUCUCACCAGCGUUACCUUCCCGCCAUUCCUACUUCUCCUCAACGACGUUACCUUCCCUCUGUUCCCACUUCUCACUGGCGUUACCUUCAUGCUGUUCCUACUUCUCCUCAUGCCAUUACCUUCCUGCCAUUCCCACUUCUCCUCACGCAUUACCUUCCUGCUGUUCCCAAUUCUCUCUGGCGUUACCUUCCUGCUGUUCUGCCGUUCACGCGUGUUUAUAUGUGUUUGCAUGUGUUUACAUGUGUUUGCAUGUGCCUGUGUCUGCAUAUGCGCAUUUCCCUGAAUCGACGGAGGUUUUCCAGCUCUGGCUGUGACAAUGUGGAUUACUGGUGCCAUUGUUAAUUUUAGGUCCAUUUGACUGGGCUAAGGGAUGCCCAAGUAGCUGGUAAAAGAUUGUUUCUGGGUGUGUUUCUGGAAGAGAUCAGUGUUUGAAUCCAUAGACCGAGUCAAGAGGGUCUGCCCUCCCCAGUGUGGGCAUCAUGCAAUCUGCCAAGGACCUGCAUAGAACACAGACAUGGAGGACAGGAAAACUCUCUCUGCUGGAGGUGGAACAUCUCUCUUCUCCUGCCUUCAAACACUGGCCUCGGUGAUUCUUGGGCCUUCAAACUUGAACUGAAUUACACCGUGACCAGCUCUCCCUGUUCUCCAGCCUGCAGAUGGCAGACCAUGGGACUUCUCUGCCUUAAUAAUUAUGUGUGCCAAUUCCUAUAAUAGAUUUUCUCUCUCUCCAUCAAUAAUCAAUCAUGUAUCCAUCCAUCCAUCCAUCCUUCCCUGUCUCUCUAUCUUUCUAUCUAUCAUCUAUCUAUGUUAUGUUUAUCUAGAGAACCCUGACUAAUAAAAUUGGUUUUGAAUUUCAUUCUUUAAAGCAGUUAAAUUAAAAUGAAACAGAAAAGACAUUUCUCGUAUCUUCACUAUCAAUUUGAAAUUUUUUUUAAUCUUUCUGUUUUGACCCAGUUUAUUCAGAAGCAUUUUUCUUAAUUGCCAUGUAUCUGGCAGGGCAGGAGACUUUCCUGGAUAUCUUACUGGCAUUGAUUUUUAAUUUAAUUCCACAGUGAUCAGAGAACACACCAUACAACUUCAAUGUUUUGAAAUUUAUUGACACUUGAUUUUGGCUCAACAUAUCAACUAUUUUGGCAAGUUUUCAAUGUGUACAUGGAAAGAACGUGUAUUCUGCAGUUAUUAGGCGAUGUGUUCUGUGAAUGCCAUUAGGUCAAUGUGGAUUAUAGUGUUACUUAGAUCUGUGUCCUUACUGCUUGUUUUGUCUACUUGUUUUAUCCAUUAGUAAGGGAAGAGUGUGAAAAUAUCCAACUAGGUUUGUGAAUUUGUAUAUUUCUCAUUUUAAUACUGUCAGUUUUUGCUUUAUGUAUUUUGAAGUGCUCUCAUUAGGUGCAUACACCUUUAUGAUUCUUAUGUCUUACUAAUACAUUGACCCUCUAUCUCUGGUAAUACUCUUUGUCUUAAAUCCGUUUUGUCUGAUGUUAAUAUACUUACUCUGGGUUUUUAAUGUUUUUGUUGACACUUUAAUCUUUUCUCAUCCUUUUGCUUUCUCACUAUGUCACUUUGCAUUCAAAAUAUGUCUCUCCUAUAAAUAGCAUAUAGCUGGGUUUUGCUUUUUUAUUUUUAAAACUUCAGUCCGAUAACCUCUCCCUUUUAAUUGGAGGAAUUAGUUCAUUUAUACUUAAUGUAAUUAUUGAUAAGAUUGACUCUAUGUCUAUCAUUCUGUUAUUUGCUUCCCUUUGCAUCCCUUCUAUUUUUUAUUCUCUGUUCCUUCCUUCCUGUCUUUUAAAGAGUUAAUUAAAUAUAUUUAAUCUUCCUAGUGCUUUUUCACCUCUGCUUCUUUGCACAAGUAUUUUAAUGUGUGCUCUUAGUAUUAGAAUAUACAUGCUUAACUUUCCACAGUCUACUUAGAGUUAAUAUUGAGCCACUUCUCAAAUGUGAGGACCUUACAACAGGGCAGCUCCAUUUCCCACCCUGUCCUUUGUGCCAUUGCUUCAUAUAUUUUAAAUCUACUUACAUCACAAACUUCAAAAUCUGUUAUAAUUUUUAUUUGAAAUAGUCAUAUGUCUUUUAAAGAAUCAAGAGACUAAAAAUACAAUAUUUUAUAUUUGCUUAUGUACUUGCUGUGUCUGGUGUGCUUCAUGUCGGGUUUGAAAAUCCAGUUUCCAUCUGGUGUCAGUUCCCUUCAGCCUAAAAACUUCCUUUACCGUAUCUUAGAGCAAAAGUCUGCUGGUUACAAAUUCUUUAAAUUUUUACUUAUCAGAAAAUAUUUCUAUUUUGCCUUUAUUUUUUAAAAGGCUGUAUUUGCUGGAUGUAGAAUUUGGGGUUGAAGGGUCUUUCCUUCAUCACCUUGAGGACAUUGCUCUCUCUCCCGAGGGGAAGAAGUUGGCUGUCAUUCGUGUCAUUGCUCUCCUUGGUGUGAUUUGUCAUUUCACCCUGGCUGCUCUAAAGAUUUUUCUCUUUGUUUUUGGUUUUUAGGAGUCUGGUGAUGAUGUGCAGUUAUCAUGUGUAGUGUUUAUUCUGCUUUGGAUUUGCUGGGCUUCUUUAAUAUAUAAAUAUAUGUUUUCAUAAAACUUAGGGCCGUUAUUUCUUUAAAAAUGUUUCCACCUCAUUGUCUUUCUUCUCUACUUCUGGGACUCCAAAUACACGUGUGUUAGACACUUAUAUUGUUAAACUCCAUUUAUUUUUUAAAAUCGUUUUUUCUCUCUGUUCUUCAAAUUGAAUAAUUUCUAUUGGUCGGGUUUGGAGUUGCUGAUACAUCACUGGGGGUCCCAGGUGUGCAGGGGCAAGGGCUGAGCUGGAGUUGGGGCUCCAGUCAGGAUGAUGACUAAACCUCAUUCCAGAUGGGUUCACUCAUGGGAGCCGGCGGGACCCCUUUCAGCUCCCAUUUGCAGUCAGGGCUCUUUGCUGCAGAAGCACCUGGGUGUCAUCCAUGCCAGUCGUCCUGGGACGAAGUGAGCGGUGGCCACUGUGCCAUGAGUGGUGCACCCUGCUGCCUGGGGUGGGCACGACGCCCACCGCUCGGCCCCCACUGGGCCUCAGCCCCCAAGGCACCCACGCUCCUCUGUGAGGGUCACCCAGCCUGCAUGGCAUCGUUAGGCUGCCCCAGGAAGGGGCAGGGUGCCCUCAGAGCUGGGACCCCUGGAGUGGCCAGCAGCAGCACUGGGGGACUGACCAGGGCGGGUCGGUGCUCAUGGCAACCACUAGUACCCGAUGGCUCCCUCCAUGCUCAGGAGGAGGGAGGAGCUCUGCCCGGCUGAGAACAGCCUGACUCUGUUGCACAUACCACAAUUCCAGGGUCAGGACGCCUCCUCCCCACUAGCUGUGCUGACCUGGGAGCAGCAGGUUCGGCCCUCACCCCAGGUAGGACGUGCCCCCUCCUUGAUAUGCCCACUUCAGCGAAUCACGUGUGGCCUGAGGGCUCUGCUCAAGGGCCCUAGCCAGGAAACAGCCUGCUGGGAGGCCAACCAGGUGCCCCCACACCUGUGGUGGACAUUGACUCCCUCCAGGCGGUGGCUGAGGGCAGCCCCAGCCAAGUCUGUGCCAGCCGAGGCUGCUGGGGACCCUUCCUCUCCCCCUUCCCUGUUCUGUUCUUCCUUCCCACCCUUCCUCCUCCCUCCCUCCUUUUCUUUUUUUGGGUUUCACCUUAGACUAAGUAAACACACUGGCCUGAAUUAUGUAAGCCCCUCUUGCAGCCUGGGCAGAUACAUUUAAAAAUAAAACUUGUCAGGUGUUGUUACCUUCCAGCCUCCUCAAAGCUGAGCUCUCCAAUCUCAGGACUAUUUACAGCCACACCAGCAGCAGUGCUGACUCGGCACCACAGGCGCGGCCUCUUGUGGGGAAGGAGCAGGGACCCUCCACCGUGCUUGGUUUCUUUCCCCACCUUCCUCUCGGUGGGGCUGGGAGUGGGGUGAUUUGGAAACACUCAGAGGGUUUAGACAUGAAUGAGUCUGGUCGAAUUCCCCACUCUGGACAGCGAGUCCAGGCACUGCCUGGCGGUCUGGUCGGGGUUCCUGGGGGGAGGUUCAGAGCAGGGUAUGGCAGGAGCAAGACCCGGGUGUCUUGUGUCCCCGAAAGGAGCAAGAGGAGGCAGCAGGAAACCCGGACGGCGCUGAGCGGAGGCCUGGGCGCACGUCCUGGAGGAAGAGGCAUCGUUACCAGGAGUGCCCGAGGCACAGUGCACAGAUGGGCUGGUACAGGGUCCUGGGAGCACUGCGGGACCGGGCAGGGCUCUGCUGAGCCUCAGGAGAGGGAGGGCGCUGGUUCCCGCAUCCUGUCCCCCUCCCCUGGUGAUCUGCCAAGGGGAGCAGCCCAGGGAGGGGGAGCUGGGAGUCAGGGAGCGCUGUCCUUCAUGAGUACAAAUCCAAAUCCCAGGCCGGCUCCCCAGGAGCAUAGGCUGCAAGGACAGGGCACCAGCUGUUUAUUUGGGUCAGGACUCAGGGGAGGGGGAAGAUCACCCCAGGAGCAGAGCUGUCCACCCACUUGGUCCCUGGAUCCCCCAGGUCCUGGAGGGCCUGACCUCAAGGAACUGACUCUGCCUGGGCUGGUAGGGCUCUGACCCCUGGCUUCCGUGCGGCCAGAGACCGCCAAACACGAGUGAGGGGCAGUUUAAUUGUCUGCUGUGGUCUUAAAAACCAGGAGGCCCAGAGUCGCAGCAAUCGGCCGUGCUUCUUUAGAGGCCCCUCCCUCCGCCUCCCACAGGGCAGCCACUCCAGCACCCCUUUCAGGUUCUUCCCCAGCCCAGGCCCUGCUCCCUGGCCCUCCCUCUUGCUACUGGUUCCCGACACUCACGUUCCUCCCACGGGACCACGACUGAGACAGCACACGAGGGCCCACUGUGAGUAUCUGGGGCCCGUUUUAUGCACAAAGAGCCCGGCACUCGCCAUCAGAUCCAUCUCCUACCUGCUCUAAGCCACACUGCCCUCCUGCCAGGCUGGUAGGGUCUCUGGGGCUGGGCUGGGUAGACGGGGCUGCGCAGCUGGAGACGUGCCCACCUCCCUGCCUGUGACCCCAUCCAGGUGCCCUGACUCAGGCACUGGCGACCAGUCCUGAGGUUGCUCAGCACAGCCCCUCCCUCACCGCUGCCCCCAAGCCAUCGCUUGCCAGAGGCUGGCUUGCUGUCUUCACGGCUCUGGGAAGUCACUUCGGAGAAACUGACCUCUGAGUGGGAAAGUGACUCACUCGCCGAGGUUCAGGACGGACUCGGCGGCAAGGGCGUCUUGGAGGGAGGUCUCGAGUGCCAGGGUUCUCCUCUCAUCUCCUCCCAUCCAGCACCGUGUACUGAAGUUGCCUGCCUCUUUCCUCAUGUCAGGGACAGCCCCGUCCCCCAGCACACAAGGAUGACAGUAUGUCCUGGUAGCCAGCGAGGCCCAGAUCCCACACCUGGCCACACGCACCAGCGUGGCCUCCAGGAGAGGGUGUGAGGUCUCCUCCGGCUGUCCACGGUGGGCCCAGACAUAGGAUCUUCCCCUGUGGGGAGGACGGGGGGCAGCCCACCCUGGGAAGAGGGGUGAGCCACCCACAGAGAAUGAGGCUAGGCCCACUUGGGCCUGAGGGCAUGGCCUGCACCCAGCUGGGCAGGCUGGGCAGGGGCAGACUGGAUGGGAAUGGGAGCUGAGGCUGCCCUGGAGGGGUUGGAGCUGUGCCCACUGGGGAUGGAUGGACACCCCUGGAUGACGGACACCCCUGGAUGACGGACACCCCUGGUCAGCCAGUGGCCCAGCUCAUGCCCCUGUCCGGAGGCCCAGCCCAGCCCAGCACACACAAAGCCAGGCGUCAGGGCUCAGGCACAGAGCACGGCCAUGGCCAGAUGUACCCGGGCCCCUCUGGGGAGUGUGCAGGGGCCGCCCGGGGUGGGCUCUGGGUGCCGGGUCCUGCCUCGGUGCUGAGGACAUCAGCCCAGGUCCCCACUGCCCUUGACCCAGGGGGCUGACACCCCCCAGUGCAGAAAGAAUGGCCCAAGGGGGUUGGCGGGGGUGCUCCAUGGAGAAGGGGCUAUCUGAGCCCCUCAGGCACCCUCUGCCAGCCAUGCCUGCCCUGAGCGGCUGCCCUGCAGCACCUGGACUGUCCCUUUGGGACGGGCCUCGGUCCCUCUCCCCAGGGGAUUUGCUGUACAGCCCCACAGGGACGCCCAAGGGAUCACUAUCUUUGUGGCUGGAGGAAGAAGACACGUGUGGCAGUGGCCAUGUGGUCUUGUUGGGAGUGGCCACCUGCCCUCCUGGGGUCUCCAGGCCAGAGGCCAGGCCACAGGCCAACCAAGGACAGCCUGGCCAUCCGGCCCUAGCCGGGCUGGACCUCCUGUGUGGAUUCUGAAAUCCACCGGCUUCCCAGGGUUGUCAACCCCUGGGCUCUCGCUCCUGUGGGGAUGGGUAUUUCCCUCUCUGGCGAGACAUUUCCAAAUUCAGAGGCUGUGGUUUGAUGGCUGGGGUCCUGUGGUGCCGGGCUGUGCCUUCCAGAGGCGCCAGCUUCAGGCUGUGACUGGUGACGAGAAUCUAGGUCAACCCACGCCGCUCACAGCCUCCUUCCAGCGUGUCAUUGUCCCAGCCUCGUCCACACACAGCUCCCCCAAAACCCUGCAGCGUCAUUUCUGUUCUGACUCCAGGUGGGCUCUGCCGCUGCCUGUGAGAUGAGGCCAGAUCCUCGCCGCCCGCACCUGCCUCUCCCCAACUCGCCCUGCGCGGGACAGGUGGACGCCGCCCACACCUACCUCUCCCCCACUCACCCUGCCCGGGAGAGGUGGACGCUGUCUGCACCUGCCUCUCCCCAACGCGCCCUGCCCGGGAGAGGUGGAUGCCGCCCGCACCUGCCUCUCCCCCACUCUCCCUGCCUGGGAGAGAUGGACGCCGCCUGUGCCUGCCUCUCCCCGACUUGCCCUGCCCAGGAGAGGUGGAUACCAAGCAUGUUCUUGGCAACUUGCUGCCCACACACGGUGCGGUCCAGGCUGCAGCGUCACAGCCCUGGAGCCUGCUGGGAGUGCACAGCCCAAUAGCCACCCCAGCCCCUCUUCGAGGGCAGAUUCCCAUCAGCCUGAGCUGCCUGCAGGAUGAGUACAGGGGUCCCUCCGCAGGGCAGAGCCAGGAGCUGUGGAAAUGCUCUUUGCAGAGGCCCCACCUAGAUGCCCCACGGGGGUGUCCCCUGGCUGAGUCCACAGGGAGGGUUGAGGCUGCCUCGGCCAUGUCUGCGGCGCACGUCCCCGGUGCACAUCCCCGGCGCAGGCUGUGUCUCCUCGCAGCCCCAACUGACUUCCUUUCCUUCCUGUGGUCUGCACUUCCACCAUCCUUACCCCCUCCUUAUCCUCAGAGACACCUCCUGACACCCUCCUCCAUGCUCUGCCCUGGUUGGGAUGCCUCUUGGGCUGUUCCGGGCCCCAGGCUAGAGCCACUGCCUCUGUUUCUCUGGGUGAGUCCUUGCCCUGCUGCAGGAAACCUCCGCGUGCUGUCUAAGAAGUCGUGCAAACUGGCCAGGCCUGGAAGGGCUGAGGCAUCCUUUCUCCCUGAUGGAUGGUUUGCGUGAGUAUAAAAUUCAAGGCUGGAAGCCAGAUUCCUGUGGAAUUUGGAAGGCCCGGCUCCAUUGUCUUCCGGCUCCAGCGUUGUUGAGGCGAAGUCUGACGUCCAUGCAGACUCUGAUUCCCGUGUGGGGACAGCCCUGGGGUCCUGCCGUCCUGGGACAUCGCUCCGGCACCCCUACGCUGCUUCUUGAAACGUUUCUGUCGACUUCCCACCUCCCGGGAAUUUGUUGAAUCUUUUUUCUGUGAAUGCCAGUUCUGUCUUCCUCACGGCUGGUUAAUUCCCUUCUGCUCCUUAACUGUCAUCGCAUGGGGUUAAUGAGAGGAGGAGAGAAAACGUCUGUGGUUUCGUUUUCCUUCCUGGAUUUCGACAAUGUGGAUGCGUCCUUGGGGGAAAGGUGGGCUCGGGAUCCAGGCAUAGACCGUGCGGGGGCCUCUCCAGGAGCCAGUGUGGGGGAGUCCAGCGCAGCAGGGCCAGGGCCAGGUGGGGCAGAGUGAAGACACCAGGGCACCGCGGGGCCAGUGAGUUUGUUGCCUCAGCUGAGACAAAGUCUCAGCAAAUCAUCAGUGUUCCUCUUCUGUGAGGUCUUUCCACGCACCAGGCCAGGGUGUCAUCACCAGACCCCUCCGGUGCUGAAGGAUCUCCCCGGAAAAUAGAUAUUAAUUGCUUUUCAAUCAAUGUAUUCCAUGUGUAUCAAUAUAUUCCACAUGUAUCAAUAUAUUCCACGUGUAUCAAUAUAUUCCACGUGUAUCAAUAUAUUCCACGUGUAUCAAUGCAUUCCACGUGUAUCAAUGCAUUCCACGUGUAUCAAUGCAUUCCACGUGUAUCAAUAUAUUCCACGUGUAUCAAUAUAUUCCACGUGUAUCAAUGCAUUCCAUGUGUAUCAAUGCAUUCCAUGUAUAUCAAUAUAUUCCAUGUGCAUUAGCUUUCUGUGGCUGCUAUAACAAAUCAGCAUAAACUUAUGGCUGAAACAACAGUCACUGUCACUGUUUAGUCCUGGAGGCCAGAUGCCUGACAUGGGACUUGGUGCUGUGAGCCCUUCCUUCUGGGGGCUCCAGGGGAGAAUCUGGGCCCCUUCAGCUCCUAGAGGCCACCCAAGUCCCUUGUCUCACAGACCCAGUCCACCUUUCAAGCCAGUAUCUUCAAACUUCUUCAGCACCUUCAAGCCUCUCCCUGACUCUGAUCCCUCACCUCCCCUCUCACUGGGAUGGACCCUCAUGAUUACUCUGGGCCUGCCCGGAUGGCCAGGGAUGACCUCCCCGUCUCAGGCCAGUGGGUGGGUAACCCUCACUCCCCCUGCAGUCUUGGGGAUGACCUCCCCGUCUCAGGCCAGCAGGUGGGUAACCCUCACUGCCCCUGAAGUCUUGGGGAUGACCUCGCGUCCCAGGCAGUCUUGGCUCCCUUUGCCACAUAACCUGAUGCAUACCCAGGUUCCCAGGAUUAGUAGGUGGGCACCUUGGGGGCUGUUCUCUCCGAGGCCACACAGUAACGGCAGAGAGACCAGGCAGAUACCCUCUUACCCUGGUGGUCGGAGGCGCGGUCAUCAGCCAGGGAUGGGUUGGCCUCGUGCGCGUGCCCUGCGCGGUGCUGAGAUCAGCCCAGCACGAUGUCUAGCAUGUUCUGCCCGAAACACACGCCUCAGAAGAAAGCGCCAGGCAAACUGAAGGACGCGAAGCCGUGGGCCGGCCUGCCGAGAUCCUGAAACGCAGGCAGAGCCGAGACGCUCUUCAGAGCACGGGUGUGUGGCGGCCGAACACAGCACCUGACCCUGGGCUUAGUCUUGGACUUCUGGAAGAAACCGCGGAACUGGUGCAAUCGGAGUGGAGCCCAUGGGGUAGGUGUUGCCAUUGAGCCAACGCUGGUUUCCUGCUGUGAGUGAUUUUGCUGCAGUUUUGUGUGCAGCGUCUUUUUCUCAGGAAAUACUCACUGAAGUAUUUAGCAGUAACAGGCAUCUGUUGUGCUUGCAAGGAAGUUUCAGGUGGAUCAGAAAGGUUAGCAGUGAAGGAAUCUAGGUGAAGGGAUGAGGGAGCUCGCUCUGCUAUUUCUGCAACUUUUGUUAACUCAGCAAAAGAGUUAAAAGACGAGUGCAUGUUAGGAUGAGGGGCCGGGGAAAAUGCCCCCGCGGGUAAACAGCCCCGUCAGGGCAGGGGCUCUGUGAGUUCAUUCGCUUGUUCACUAGAACAUUCCUUGGCUGAAGUAUUUACUGACGCUAACAUCACAACAAAGACAAGACAAGAGGAUGCCACAUACAUCCUGAUGGAGGCGCCUCCGACCAAAAGCAAAGAACCCGGAUGUGCCCCAGCCUCGUUCCAACUAGCAGUUCCCACAGAGACGCGGGGCACGGAGACGUCCCACAGAGAUGCGGGGCACGGAGACGUCCCACAGAGACGCGGGACACGGAGACGUCCCCCAGAGACGCGGGGCACGGAGAUGUCCCCACAGAGACGCGGGGCACGGAGACGUCCCACAGAGACGCAGAGCACCCAGGGCAGCUACAGGAUGUCCUCAGGCUGCACGCUGGCCUCCAUGGCACAGAUGGCCCAACAACUUUGAUCAAUUGCAAGGAAAAGCAGAAACGGAGCGGGCAGGAUAUCAAAAGAGGCAUCAAAGACACAUGCACUCUGUGGGAUAUUUUGACCCUGAGUCGAACAAAUGAACCCCAGGUAGCAAAGGUAAACAACAAUAAAAUCAGACGUAUGGGGCAGUUAUCAAUAUGGAUCCUUGCAGGACAUCGGAUGAUAUGGAGGGUGCACUGUUACUCACCUUAGGUGUGAGGAUGGUACCAUGGUUAUAUAUCUGAAAAGUGUCCACAUCCUUUGGAGAAACAUCCUGAAAUAUUUACAGAUGAAAUGAUAUCAUGUCUGGGAUUUGUUUUAAAAUAAUCCAAUUUACUGUUACUGUCUUAGUUUGCUUUCUGUUGUUAAAACAGAAUACCACCUAUGGGUCAUUUAUAAAGAAAUGAGCUUAUUUCUCACAGCUCUGGAGGCUUGGAAGGCCGAGAGCGUGGUGUCUACAUCUGGGAGGGUGGCCCCGCCAUGUAGACGGAAGGUGGGAGUGAGCAGAGGCACCAGGGCUGGACUCACUUCAUGACCACUCAUUCCAGCAAUAACACCGAUCCACUUGUAAGGGCGCCACCCUCACGACCCAGUUACCUCUUUUUAGGCCCUCUCUCCCAACACUGUUGCAUUUGGGAUUAAGUUUCCGACACCUGAACUUUUCGAGGGACACACUCAGAUCAUAGCAAGGAUGAAAAGCCAGAUGGGCCUGGCUGAGGAGCUGGAAGCCACUGAUGCUUGGUGAGCUCUGCAGCCACUCUACUGUGCACGUGUGGAACUCUCCAAAAAACACAUGAGCAAGAACUUAGAGGAAUACUUCUGGAGUGUGGUUGGAUGUGAGGGUCCUUAAUCCACGCUGAUUAAGAUGCUGAUGUCUUAGUCAGCGCUGAGUGGAGACGCUGGUGCUUGCAGAGGUGGUUGGAGCCCAGAUGUACUAAGAAAGAAGAGGGGCCUCAGCGUCCUCACCUGCAAGCUGGGAAUAACUACCCAGCCCUUCAGGGCCGUGUGAGGAGCUGCCGGAGCAGCAGGUGACAGCUGCCUCACUGUGAGUUUUCCUGGCAGCUCUCAGCCUGGGUACCAGGAAGGCACAGGUGUGCUGGAGGCUUCCUCACCUGCAGUCCUGCUCCAACACUGUCCAUGAUGCUCCCACCAAUAAGAAAGUUUUCUCUAGGAUCCCAGGAAAGCUGUUUUCUUUUUUGUUGUUGUGUUUGCCAGGGCUGAUUUUCAACUCCCUUUAUUAAUGUCUUUUUUCUUAUUAAUUUAGAUUCUGCAGGUCAGUAGCAACACCAUUUGAUGUUUUGACAUUUAAUCAAAACUGGCAGGUUUUCUCCGGCGUCAAAUGCAUGGGGUCUUGUCAGAGAGCAUGUUCGUGGGUUCAUGAUGAAUUGCCCUCGUGACGGAGGGUCGCCCUGCGUGAACACUGGUUUCAUAAGCUCUAAGGACUGUACCGGUCAAGACUGAUGCACCCUCAGGGCUGGGAUCCUGUGCUGGGCCCAUGGUGAGUUCCAUGAAGGGUUAAUCUUUUCCAGUGCCCACAGGUGCUUUUCAGCCCAGCCCUGUCCUCUUGCGAAUUCACCUCGUUGAGGUAACCUGAAGACCUGUGUGUCCUGGACUCAGCUCUCCUGUGGACACAGGUGUCUUCACGGCAUCUCUCACCCAAUUUUGUGCCUGGACGUCCUGCCACUGACCAUCACCACAGGGAGCACAAAGAGAAGGUGGAGGUUCUCCAGCCUCUCCGGCCUCCUGGUCUCCUGGGCAGCAGGUGCAGGAACAGAUACGCUGGCCUGGGGGAGAGCAUGAGUGUGGAAAGGAGAGCCUGCAGCUCUUAACAGCAGCGUGGGCUCCAGAGGGCAGUUACUGGUCAGCUCUCAAGAUGCUUUGACCAUAAACGGAAUUGCCUGGCAGUUGGGUUUAACUGCUCCGUCUUUGUGCAGCUUUUCCUACACACUUGAGAGGUUAUAAGAGACACUUCACGCCAAUUUAUUGGAUUUCAGCUUGCAGCCAACCCCAGCCAGUGACACUGUUUUUCUAUUAAGGACCUGUGGGAACGAAGUCAACACUAAAUAAACGCAGCCAACAGGAGUAUGUCACGAAAGGAAAUUCCAGAGUUCUGUCUCUAAUGAGGAGGAGCAAGUACCUGGCGAGUGCCUGGUGAGAGCCCGGUGAGUGCCCGGUGAGUGCCUGGUGAGUGCCCGCAAGUGCCCAGCGAGUGCCCGGCGAAUGCCCAGUGAGUGCCCAGCGAGUGCCCGGUGAAUGCCCAGCGAGUGCCCAGUGAGUGCCCGGUGAAUGCCCAGUGAGUGCCCAGAGAGUGCCCAGCGAGUGCCCGGUGAAUGCCCAGCGAGUGCCCGGUGAGUGCCCGCAAGUGCCCAACGAGUGCCUGGUGAAUGCCCAGCGAGUGCCCAGCGAGUGCCCGGCGAAUGCCCAGUGAGUGCCCAGUGAGUGCCCAGCAAGUGCCCGGCGAAUGCCCAGCGAGUGCCCAGCGAGUGCCCGGUGAAUGCCCAGCGAGUGCCCAGCGAGUGCCCGGUGAGUGCCUGCAAGUGCCCAGCGAGUGCCUGGUGAAUGCCCAGUGAGUGCCCAGCGAGUGCCCGGUGAAUGCCCAGCGAGUGCCCAGCGAGUGCCCGGUGAGUGCCCAGCGAAUGGAGGCUCCUCGGGUAACACGCGUGGACCCAGGCACAAUACAAAGUCAACCGCCCGGGGCUCUAGAGCAGGAGAAACAGGCAGUUUCUGGAGGGAGAGUCAGAGCUAGAAGCAGCACCCGGCCCAGGCGAGGCUUCUGUGUGUGGCUUUGCCAGGAGGGCAGCACUGCCUGGGGUUAGUAAGACGCUGGCACAAAGUCACCACCUCUGGGUAUGGAGAACACAGGUGAAGAUACCUGGGACAGCCAGGGCUGCCAGUGUGUGAGUGUGUGAGGAUCUGGGAAAGGAGGAAGCAGAGAAGUGGGAGAGCAUGUUCUGUCCGCAACCCUUGCUCCAGUUUCCGGCUGACCCUGGAGCCAUGCCAGUCUAGGCAGACGGACAGUUCUGAACAGAAACCGAGCUGCUGCCCACCAAGCUGCUGCUGCCAGCCCCUGUGGGAAACGCAUCAGAGCCCAGAGGAGGGGCUCAGGGGUGCUCAGGGGGUGAAGGGGGCCGCUGUGGGCUGCCUGAGAAAAGCGACCACAUCUGGGGCUGUGCCCCCGCCCGACAAGCCCAGUGGGAGCUUCUCAGAAACAAGGUGGGAAGCCUGCGCAAUCCUCUCCACCGCGCUCGGGGCAGCGGGGACCAGGGCUUCCCCAGGCUGGGGCAUGGCAAGGCGGGCAGUCGGGCAGCAGGACGCCCAUGCCCUGCCCACCUGUCCCCACCUGUGGGAGCUGCUGGCCCUCCCCACCCAAGGCUGCCCUCCUACCAGCAGCACAAGAGGUUUGGACCAACGCGUGUGCGCUACUUUCUAGAGCAAAAUUUCUUUGAACUGAGAUUUUAGAACCGAGGUGGAACAUGGGAGAGGCCCUGGUGGAAGCAGGAAAUACACGAUUUGCUUUUCACAACUACGCGUUAAUGAAUAGGGCAGCCCACCUCCUGGUUUGCCCCGGAAUGCCCAGUUUCAGGCCUGAAAGUCCCACGGAGCAUCUCCCAUCCUCACCCUCGGCCUGGAGGACAGAGGCGCGUCUGGCUGGUGGCAGCCGUCAGGGCUUUGUCAAAGCGGCGCUCAGAUGGAGACAACGUCUCGUCAGGUGCCACGAUGGGUCUGUGUUGUGCGAGCAUGUUGCUUUAGGCUGCCUUAGGCCGCCCACCUGAUUCUGUCAUUCUGUUUCGGAACGGCCCUCUAGACGAGCUGCAGCUUCGAGGGUGGCUUUCGCACUCUGCUGUCAGUGGCUGAACGGCUUCAUUGUGAAAUGCUGAAGUGAUUUGUAUAAAUCAUGACCAUGGAUUAAUGAGGUUCAUUCCUCCCAAACCUUCAAGAAAUUGUUACUGUUCCUGAUGUAUUUGAUGGCAAUUGGCUCCUGGAGAAGGGAGGGAGAGGCGGGUGUCUCUACCCCGUUUGCUAUAUUUUGUGGGGAUUGUGGGGGGCCUGGCUGGCACCAUAGGGGGCUGGGUGCCCUGGGCUGUGAACUCCUGAUGACAGGAGGCGCCUCCCUCCUCACCAGGCCUGGAAUGAAACCCACGUGGGCAGUCCCACGAGCAACACGCCAGCGCCCCAAGGCUGGCCACGGGCAGGACGCAGAGACAGACGCGUCAUUAGAGCAUGGGCGCGGCGUGUCCGUGGCACGUGAGGCCCCGGGCCCUGCCUUUGCUUUCGGUCUCUGUGCACGCUGCCUCCUGACCUGAUGGUCCAGUUGCCUGCGGAAGUAGGUCUGUGCACAGUGGACCUUUUAAAAGAGACACGAAACCUGGGAGGGCCUGGCCUUCCCUCUGUGCGCUGCUGCUGUUUGUCUUUUUCCUCAGCUUCCCGUUGUUCGAUGGAGUGGACUCCAGGCAGCUGUCCUGUGAGCUCGACACAGCCAGGCUGGAGUUGGCAGAGGUGCAGAUAGGGCGGUGAUGCUGAGAGCCACGAUGUCGUCAUUGAAAUGAAGUCAGGUGGACCCUCUGGACCCUCUGAGUUUCCAGCCUAGGAGCAGUGGCGUGUUCUAAGGACGGGCUUCCCCUCCUCCCACCCUCCAGCUCCCAGCGCCGCCUGUAACCCUCCUCCCACCCUCCAGCUCCCAGCGCCGCCUGUAACCCUCCUCCCACCAUCCAGCUCCCAGCGCCGCCUGUAACCCUCCUCCCACCGUCCGGCUCCCAGCGCCG